GCAUAAUCACUUGCCCAUUAAUUGUGGGCUAGAAUGAAUGGAAAAACGAAGUAAUAGCUGUCUCUAGUAGUAACAUAAAAACUAAUCUCUCAGUGAAGAAGCUGAGAUACAAUCACAGGACAAGAAGACCCUAUAGAGCUUUAUUUUUAAUACAUAAACUCAAUGUAAAAAAAUUCAGUUGGGGCGACUAAGGAAAAAUCAUCCUAAAUAACAAUAGACAAACAAGUCACUCAAAAGAUCCUAAUUUUUAGAUCAAAGAAAUUAGCUACCUUAGGGAUAACAGGCUAAUCCUCCUGGAAAGUCCAAAUUUAUAGGAGGGG
RNAcentral lists this ribosomal RNA (320 nucleotides) under Dero rwandae. Its description in RNAcentral is "Dero sp. n. CB-2019 partial large subunit ribosomal RNA". It matches the Rfam family "Bacterial large subunit ribosomal RNA", at positions 1959 to 2517 of the family's 2925-position model. The record is from RNAcentral. Lineage: Eukaryota; Metazoa; Annelida; Clitellata; Tubificida; Naididae.